CGCAGAAUCCUAAGGGGAGGGAGAAGUAGGCUGCAGUCUGCUGAAGCUUGGACCCCCAGAACCUGUUGCCAUGGUCACAGGGGACUUUUGAUGUGAAGCGCGGCGACCCCCCCCUUGCUUGCCUUCAGGAUGACGUCACGGACGUCCGUUUCCCUGACAGGCCACCUGUGGGUUGCUCCCGGCUUUAAAGCAGCUGUUGUCCCCUGGCCCCCGCAGCCGUGUCCACCGCGUCGACACUGGAGCGGACCUUGUCGGAACUACAGACCUGUCUCCCACUCUGGCGGCUGCGGACCGGACAGACAGCCAGGGAGGAGGCAAGUAUUCCCCAAAGAGGCUUCCUCCCCUCCUCAUCCUCCUCCCCGCGCCCUUGCUCUGCAGCUUGAGCGGCAGGGUAGGAGGGGACUUUUUUCCAGAAAGAAGUGGACAGCAAGCAAUCAAUUUUCCUCUCCGGCCAUGGUGACCAAGUCCCUGCCCGGGCCCUUUCCAGGUUCAACAGACCUGUUGCACCCAGAGAAGAGCCCCAAACCGAUCGGCGCGCCAAGAGCCCCCGAGACUCUGCUUGCCAAUAUCCCGAGAGCCCAGCACCGACGGGGAAAUGUGGGGAAGCCCCCAGACGCAAUUGAGGUAAUCAUCUCAGUGUUCAGGGCCCCUCUUCCUACCCACUGAGAUAGCGGCAAAUAACUCACUAACCCGGAGGGCAAUGGAGAGGCGGAAGCCCUGUCUACUGAAAACGAACAUCUAGCGCAGGUGCGUGCUAGUCUCGCCUUUCCAUCCGCCGGGUCCUUGCCUAGCGGUCAGAAUCCCGCGGUCAGGUCUCUGGAGCCCCUCCCCGGCAAAUCCGAGCUUCUAGCUUCAGCACCAGAAGCUGGACAGCGCCCUGCCCGCUGAGCGCGGGACGAUCCCUGGGACGCCGCGCAGAGGAGUGCCUGAGGUGAGACGGGUUUGCAGAAGGAGGGACCCACCUUCUCCAGGGGUCUGGGUGUCGGUUUCUUGGCGGGCGUUCUGUCUCCUCUUAGUACGUCCAGCGGGAAAACUUAGUGCUCAGGUGCCGGCCGGCGCCCGGACAAGACGCGCACGCUCAGCGGGGCUCGUAGGGGGCCAGGAACGCGCAGCGUCUAUUGUGUCCCUGGCCUUGGAGAUCUUUGGAAAAUCGCCACAGCCUCUCUCUCGCCCGCCCCUUCCCGCUCCACAAUCUCCGUAGCCCUACUAAAAGUGAAUGAAGGAAAAAGCGUUGGGGUGGAGAGAGAAGAUAGUGAAGCCGAGGGGAGAAGCACAUUUUUUCUAGGUCCUCACCCUUAGGGGUAAGAAAAAAAAUCUGUCCAAUGAACAUCAAGUUACACGUUUUUUUAUCCAGACACCCAAAGUGCCCUUUGUACGAGCAGCGGAGGAGAUUGUUUUGCCAGGAAGGGGGCAAAAAGCCCCGAAGGGGAGAAUCUACCACAAAAGGGCUAACAGAGGAGGGGAAGAGGAGAGGAGCGGACAAAACUCAGCAAUGCGUGGUUGCUGGGCAACCAGCCGCAGCCCCAGCCUCCUGUUGCCUUGGUUACAGUGAAUGGAGGGGCUUUGGCUACUGAUUACCCAUGAGCACCAUGACUCUUUAAAAUGUGCCUUGGGAGCCCUUGCCUUCCCCAGGCUGGGUGGAAAUCACCACCCUCCCAAGGAAUCCUCCCCCCACUACCUGGGGAAAUCCUGGAAGAGGAAUUUUUCCUUUUAAAUCAAGGCACGGGGCAAUUUCCCCUCAAUCCUUCCCACCCCCACCCCCCAACACUUGCUUUAGAAGUAAUAGUAACCUACCCUGCCAUUUCUUCAAGAUUUACAGUUUUGCCCCCUCAACGCGCACACACUUAUUCCUUUAUACUGGAGGCGCUGAUCUCUCCCCAUUUUCUCUCUUCCCCUUUCCCCCCUCUUUUAAAUGAGAAAAAUAUGUUUGCUCCUCGUGGGAGAACGAGAGGGAGGCAGGACUCUCAUCCAAGGGUAUCUAUCUACUCUGAAGAGAGUCUUAGCAAUCACAGGCCCCAGGACCCCUCGCAGGGGGAGGAGGUGAAUUCUGGGUUGAAUCACCCCACAGACCUCAAGGAAGGGAGAAACACAUCUCCCUCAAGAAGUGGCCGCUGGCUCAAGAUUCUCUUCUCUCCCUUCCUCCCAGCAUCCCCUUCACAACCAGCAAGCACAGUGCAGCCAGCUUCUGGUCCUCUGUUUUCUCUUUGCCCUGAUUGACAAAUAUUGACUCCACUUUCCACCCGUCAGCCCUGCUCCCGUGCGUUCAUUCAGUAUCGUCUGGCUAGAAAGCACUUUACCCGCAGUUUUUUAAAGGCAAGUGAACCGUUCUCAGAGUGAUUUAAGGGGAAACCACCAGCGAGUUACUAGAACAACCUAUGUCCUGUAGAUUAGUUUAUCCAGAAUACUUCUCAUUAAGAGCCAAGAAUUUUCUAUUUCCAAAGAAAACCCUUUUUUUAAAACUGAGGUAUCACUUGGGAGCACAGGGAGAAAAUGUCCGUAUUUUUUAGGCAGUAACCAUCAUAUCUCACCUCCGAUGCCUGCACCAACAAACACAAACAUCUUUCCUUAUAUUAUUUUUCCUUCCUUUGUUGAUAAAAUAUUUUUUUUAAAUCACUAUAAUUUCAAUGUAUGCUUAUGGCCAAAAUGACCUUGGUGGACCAGCUAGAUAUAGUUGGUGAGCAUUUAUGCUAAAAUGCCUCUCAAGUGUUUCUAUAGAAAUUUCUGACAGACCAGACCAGACAGCUGUUCUGGUUUUUGUACUUUUUUCCUCAAAGAAAUGCUUUAUUUUAUUAAUUCUCCUGAGCAGUGAUCACUGAUCACAUCAAUAAUGUCCUAUAGCAAUAGUAGUUAUUUUGUUACAAAAAAAUUAUCUUUCUGCUCAUUUCUUUAUGGACAAAGGAUUUACUUUCCUUUUGAGAAUAUAAGCAAGAUCUUACUGGCCAGGAAAGAACCAUUCUCUCAUUGGUUGGUGUAUAAUGCCUUGUAACCCAGUAAGAGGAUGCCAUUUAUCCUUUUUUGACUAGCUGAGUGAGGCCGGGGUAGCCAGGAUGAUUAAAUCUCCUCAGUGCUACCCAGUAGCAAAAAGGUAGAACUCAGAGUUCUGGGGCCCAGGAUCUGAGACUUACUUUGGCUAAUCCAGAAUGCAUUUGACUGGCAAGGAUGAACUUUUCUACCUUGCUACUUGUAGUUUACUUGAACAAAUUUGCAUAAUACAUUGUUCUAUGGAUUUUUUUUCAUUUUAUGUUAUGUCAUGAUCACCCCAAGUCAGUGUAGGCUAUUGGUAUCAGCACAUUGAGGACCCAGGGUUUUUUUAUGAUUUCCUAGAAGUACAGAAUUGGUUCUCACCAUUAGGGAUAUGGUGAAAACUUUACAGGGUAAGGAUGGAAAGCUAGAAGAGAUGAAUAGUUAUUGCUGAUUUUGGAUUCACUCUGUUAGCUUUGCUAUCCUAUGAUUAUUUGAUUUGUUUGUUUUCCCAACUUCAUUCUUCCUAGCUUUCCUUCUGGCCUGAAUUUUCAGUGAGAAGUAGAAAAGCUGAAUGGAUGGAGAUGGUGACCCUCUAAGUCAGAGUGAGGGCAGACCUAUUGCUACCAAAGAAGGCUUGUGGCAGGUUGAUGAUGCGGCCCCUGGAGUUGAAAGUUAUCUCAGCCCCUCAUGGCGUUGGUGUUGGGCAGGUCCGGGAUUUUUUUUCCUCUCUGCCUGCAAUCAAUAGUACAAUUUAGGAAUGGUGGCAUUGGUUUCCGCAUUUCUAAGAGAGGGAGUCAAAGAUCUCCCUUGUUCUAGGACAAACUCUCCUAUAAGCCUGGCAGCCUGCAGGAUGCCUUCACGUGAGUACAGACUCCCUUGGUCAAUCUUUUCUUGGUGUUUGCUGGAGGGGAUGCAGGGGAUGGACAUAUACCUGACUACGAUGUUGCUACCAGGAACACUUCCUUCAUGGAUCACGUCCAGUGUCAGUGGGACCAUCCGCUUCAGUGCUAGAUGAUAAAACCUUCAAUAUUAGGGACUACAUCUUGUCACUUUUGAUUCCCUAAAGCUUAGUCAUGUUUAAAGUAGAGGCUGAACACAGGUCUGAACUAAAUGCUACCAGCUAGCAUUACAAGUCCCUUAACCUCUCCUUCAUGAGAACGCAGCUCUAGCCCUGGACCCAUCCCUACCUUGGCCUCCCCUCUAAAUCAAAAGCUUCAUAUUCCCUAGCUCUCCUCACAAAAGAUAAACGAAGGCUCAAUUAAGCGUUACCAUGGUUACGUGGAGUAGCCACACUGAGGAUCCCUACACCCAUUACUGUCAUGAAGUAAGAGAAGAGGGGUUAAGGAAUCGUUGUCAUGGAGGAAACCAUGGAAACAAGCGUUGCUAAGGGGACAGCUGUAAAUUCAGAGGAAAGAAAUUAGAAGUGGGGAGUGGACUUUGUGGGCUCGAGAGCAGGUCACUUUUUCAAGGUACGUUUCUCUGGGACUAUAGCAGCCUUUAUUUUUUCUAUUUGUAUCUUCCCAGGCAGAGCCCAGAAUUAAAGAAUUUUAGAAAUUUUAGAAAACCACGGUCAUCAUCAGCUCAAGUCCAUCACUGUUGGAUUGGUCCCCAAACAGAGCAGGGUUCAGAAAGGAGGUGUUAUGUGAGUGUGAACGGGUCAAUCCACUUUCACUGCCUCUUCAGCCCAGCUCUGCGUGUAAUCUAAGCCAGGAGGUGUGUGGGGCACUGGGGAGGAAAUAAUGAGCACAGCGUAGAGCAGGAUAGUGACUUGGUUGGUGGCUUUAGAGCCGCUGCUGCUCACGUGGACAGGCCCGCAGCAUGGUGUCCAGAGAGCUGCUGCAAAUUCUCUCCAAACUCUGCCUGUGACGUCUGUAGCUUGUCAUUCCCAUCUGACAUUCAUCUGCAAGGUACCCUAGAAAGGCCUGCUUGCUCUAGGACAACUGGGGUCCUAACCUGUCCUGUGAAACCCUCACGCCUGACUUAGUGAGCUGUGUUCUCUGGUCUUUCUCCCUGAAGCAACAGCUAGGGCUGGCAGUGCCCUAGCCCACUCUCACCAGUGACAGACACAAGGGGCUAUGUUUUGUUUUAAAAGAAAUCAAGGAUAAUGAACUCCUCCGUGUUGCUUGAUAGGCCAAAGGGAGGGGGGACCUCAGGUCAUUGCAGCUUGGAGCUCAUAGCCAGCCCCCACCCUAUGAGGUGCAGAUCAGAGAGUCUCAGCCUCCAGGGGAGGGAGGAACCCCCUCACCCUUGCAUCCUGCACAGGGCAACUUGAGCUUCCUCAGGCCCACACAGGACCGUCCCCUGGCUCUGGCUGACUGCUGGACAUUGCCAAACCUUCUGCACAUCGUCCCCCAUGGCCCCUGAGUCUCUCUGUCACUCUGCAUGGGGAGAAUGGAGGGUCAGCUAAAGAGGAAGAGCUCAGAAUUAAAAAGCAAAAGAAUUAAAAGUACCUAUAGGGAAGGGUAAUUAUCCUUCAGCUGCUGCUGAAAUACAAUUAGGGGCCAUGCUCUCAAGCUGCCAGGAUAUUGCGGCUUUUGCUAAUUAAGGAGCGGAUGUGCCCUGCCAGUCGCAAUUAGAGGCUGGCCCAGGCAGCGGGGCCCCCGCCUCACCUCCUCUCAGUGCUGCCUGUAAGGGAUAUUAACCAGGGAGCCCAGCCUUGUGCCUGCCUGCUGGGAGGGGACACCUAAGCGAGGGUUCCCCCCUCUUCCUGUCCUUUCUGUUCUGCUGGUCCGACCCCACCAGCGGGCUUCGUUCUGAACUGUGGUGCACUGGCUCUGAGGACUUUCACUGUGGGCCUGGGCAGGGAGGAUCACCACUACCUACAGCUUUUUUUUUUUUUUUUUUGCAGAACUGAGGAUCAAAUGUGUGACCCUUGUACUCAGCUGCAUCCCUAGCCCUCUUUUUAUUUUGAAACAAGGUCUUGCUAAGUCACUAAGUUGCCCAGGCUUAGCCUUCGAGAGUGACGACAUUACAGGUGGGCACCACCCCUACACGACCACCUCCAGCUCUUCCUGUUUCCCACCCUCCUUCAAUGUACAGUUCUUUGUGAUUCAUGAAGAAAAGGUAGAAAGAUCUACAUCUCCCUUUACUUCUAACCAUAGCAAAGCCAGUGGGCAGCCAGUUCUAUUAGAAAUCUCAUUCACACUUGAGAAGUCUGCAAAUUGGCAUCGCUCAGCAGGUGUCUGCUCCUCACGGCCGGAUGUCAGGAUGAGCAGAGCAGGGGGACAGCGGACUCAAGAGUCAGUCUCUCCUGGCAGCAUCUGGGGCUGGAGCCAGGUUCCACCCCAAAGGGUUCUAUUACAGAGAAGCCCUGGCCUUUGAAAGAGGAGCUAUUUUCACUCUAAGAGCUGAAGAGUCUUGAAAAUUCUUUUUCACAAUGCGAGUCAUCGAACCUGCACUUCUUCUACAAAAGAUUGGGUCAAGUUCCUUAUUUCAGUUUCAGGCUCUCAGACCCAGCCCAGUGACAAGCCUGGACAACUUAGUGACUUAGUGAGACCCUGCUGGGCAUUUAAUGGGUUCAACCCCAUUUUCUCUCCCCUCAAAUCAGCUCUUUGUGUAACCCUUGAGAUAUUGUAGAUUUUAUGGAUUGUUCUUCCUAUUGUGUACUCUUAGCAUCCUGCAUCACACCCUCAAAAUAACCCUUUUAAAUAAAGUCUCCCUUUACUCAAUCCGGACUAUUUUUUUACAUUCUAUGCAGCAUUCUUUACAUUUGGCUCCUGCUACAGCGUUUUAUGCAAGCUUAUUGUAUAGAACACCCUUGUGCUUUCCUGUCCCAAGAAUAUGUUGAUAAAUUUGAACUCGCUAAUUCUGAAAAUUUUUCUGUGAUCAUAAAGCUGUAAGUGUUCAUUUGUUAUGCAAUAUCAGUACCUCACUUAAAAUAAAUACACAGAAUUUUCAUUAAAAUAAAUACACAGCAUUCAUAAGAAUCUUUCAGAUUUCCGCAACAACCUCAAAUUCUUUGUCACAGGAAUGCCUCCGAAACGCUGCCACUUAUAAAAGAAAUGUACGUCUAUCUACAUGAAGAAGCAGCGGAAGCAGACAGAAGCGUUUGUAUUUUAAAUCCCCCCCUUUCGGCUCAGGGGAAAUCUUUCUACAGGAAGAUCCUUGCAGGAUCUAAAACCUGCAAGGACUCAUUUACACAGGUGGCUGUGGCCCGAAAGACUUCAUCUGCAUAAUAAGGCAAUCCUGGCUUGUGGUGCCGCAGCCAGUCCCCUUAGAGCUCCGAGUAGAGCUCAGACAUUUUACCCCUCUUGGGGUUGGAUUCCUGUCCCUUAGACAGGUGAUACAACGUGUAUGUUCUUGUUCCUCUUAUUUAUUGCAUAGAACGGAUCAAAUAAAAUUAUUGAGCCUUCAGAGGGAAAACAGCAAAUCCAAGCUUCCCUACAUGAGUAAAAGAAUUUUUAAAAUAAAGCAGAAACUGCUGUUUUCUUGUACUGGGAAUUGAACCCAGGGCCUUCGCCCUGAGCGACAUCCCCAGUCCCCCCACCCCAAAAAGGCUUUAAAAAAAGCCAAGUUC
Long non-coding RNA from Heterocephalus glaber (naked mole-rat), 7480 nucleotides. Lineage: Eukaryota; Metazoa; Chordata; Mammalia; Rodentia; Bathyergidae. The record is from Ensembl.